RNAcentral lists this ribosomal RNA (253 nucleotides) under uncultured bacterium. Its description in RNAcentral is "partial 16S ribosomal RNA". It matches the Rfam family "Bacterial small subunit ribosomal RNA", at positions 524 to 776 of the family's 1533-position model. The record is from RNAcentral.
GACAGAGGGUGCAAACGUUGUUCGGAAUUACUGGGCGUAAAGCGCGUGUAGGCGGCUUGGCAAGUCGGGUGUGAAAGCCCUGGGCUCAACCUAGGAAGUGCACUCGAAACUGCUUCGCUUGAGUAUCGGAGAGGAAAGCGGAAUUCUCGGUGUAGAGGUGAAAUUCGUAGAUAUCGAGAGGAACACCGGUGGCGAAGGCGGCUUUCUGGACGGUUACUGACGCUGAGACGCGAAAGCGUGGGGAGCAAACAGG